CCUUCGAUAGCUCAGUUGGUAGAGCGGUGGACUGUAGAGGUAUCGCCACAAGACAUCCAUAGGUCGCUGGUUCAAAUCCGGCUCGAAGGA
Molecule: non-coding RNA, 90 nt
Organism: Papilio xuthus (Asian swallowtail)
Lineage: Eukaryota; Metazoa; Arthropoda; Insecta; Lepidoptera; Papilionidae
Source: Rfam